AGUGGAUGGGGAGCAACCUAGUUGUGCGUGUGUAAAGGUAGUGCCAAGAAAAGCGAUGAUCAUGUUGAAAAUCAAUUCCCGGUACCCGAAACCGACACAGGUGGGCAAGUAGAGAAUACUAAGGGGCGCGAGGUAACUCUCUCCAAGGAACUCGGCAAAAUGACCCCGUAACUUAGGGAGAAGGGGUGCCACCGAGAGGUGGUCGCAGUGAAGAGGCCCAGGCGACUGUUUAGCAAAAACAUAGGUCUCUGCAAACUCGAAAGAGGAGGUAUAGGGGCUGACGCCUGCCCAGUGCCGGAAGGUUAAAGAAGUUGGUCAGUUUUAGGAUGAAGCUAGCGACUGAAGCCCCGGUGAACGGCGGCCGUAACUAUAACGGUCCUAAGGUAGCGAAAUUCCUUGUCGGGUAAGUUCCGACCCGCACGAAAGGCGUAACGAUCUGGGCGCUGUCUCGGAGAGAGGCUCGGCGAAAUAGGAUUGUCUGUGAAGAUACGGACUACCUGCAUUUGGACAGAAAGACCCUAUGAAGCUUUACUAUAGCUUGGAAUUGUGUUCGGGCUUCCUGUGCGCAGGAUAGGUGGGAGGCGAAGAAGGUAUUCUUGUGGGGAUACUGGAGCCAACGGUGAGAUACCACUCUCAGGAGGCUAGAAUUCUAACUUAAUUAAGGACAGUUUCAGGUGGUAGUUUGACUGGGGCGGUCGCCUCCAAAAAGGUAACGGAGGCGUACAAAGGUUCCCUCAGACUGGUUGGAAAUCAGUCGCAGAGUGCAAAGGCAGAAGGGAGCUUGACUGCGAGAAGUACAGUUCGAGCAGGGUGGAAACACGGUCUUAGUGAUCCGACGGUGCUGUGUGGAAGGGCCGUCGCUCAACGGAUAAAAGUUACUCUAAGGAUAACAGGCUGAUCUCCCCCAAGAGUUCACAUCGACGGGGAGGUUUGGCACCUCGAUGUCGGCUCAUCGCAACCUGGGGCGGAAGUACGUCCCAAGGGUUGGGCUGUUCGCCCAUUAAAGCGGUACGUGAGCUGGGUUCAGAACGUCGUGAGACAGUUCGGUCCAUAUCCGAUGUAGGCGUGAGAAUAUUGAGAGGAGCCUUCCUUAGUACGAGAGGACCGGGAAGGACGCACCGCUGGUGUACCUGUUAUGAUGCCAAUUGUAAACGCAGGGUAGCCAAGUGCGGAGAGGAUAACCGCUGAAAGCAUCUAAGUGGGAAGCCCACCUCAAGAUGAGUAUUCUGGUGUAAGGUCACGGGAAGACGACCCGUAAAUAGGCACGAGGUGGAAGUGCAGAGAUGUAUGAAGCCGAAGUGUACUAAUAGACCGUCGGCUUGAC
This 1324-nucleotide ribosomal RNA is filed under the name metagenome. RNAcentral's name for it is "bacterial LSU rRNA". It matches the Rfam family "Bacterial large subunit ribosomal RNA", at positions 1561 to 2925 of the family's 2925-position model. The record is from RNAcentral.